GUCUCCGUAGGUGAACCUGCGGAGGGAUCAUUACACAAAUAUGAAGGCGGGCUGGAACCUCUCGGGGUUACAGCCUUGCUGAAUUAUUCACCCUUGUCUUUUGCGUACUUCUUGUUUCCUUGGUGGGUUCGCCCACCACUAGGACAAACAUAAACCUUUUGUAAUUGCAAUCAGCGUCAGUAACAAAUUAAUAAUUACAACUCUCAACAACGGAUCUCUCGGUUCUGGCAUCGAUGAAGAACGCAGCGAAAUGCGAUAAGUAGUGUGAAUUGCAGAAUUCAGUGAAUCAUCGAAUCUUUGAACGCACAUUGCGCCCUUUGGUAUUCCAAAGGGCAUGCCUGUUCGAGCGUCAUUUGUACCCUCAAGCUUUGCUUGGUGUUGGGCGUCUUGUCUCUAGCUUUGCUGGAGACUCGCCUUAAAGUAAUUGGCAGCCGGCCUACUGGUUUCGGAGCGCAGCACAAGUCGCACUCUCUAUCAGCAAAGGUCUAGCAUCCAUUAAGCCUUUUUUUCAACUUUUGACCUCGGAUCAGGUAGGGAUACCCGCUGAACU
RNAcentral lists this ribosomal RNA (550 nucleotides) under uncultured fungus. RNAcentral's name for it is "eukaryotic LSU rRNA". The stretch from base 199 to 352 matches the Rfam family "5.8S ribosomal RNA". The record is from RNAcentral. Lineage: Eukaryota; Fungi.